RNAcentral lists this ribosomal RNA (393 nucleotides) under uncultured bacterium. RNAcentral's name for it is "partial 16S ribosomal RNA". It matches the Rfam family "Bacterial small subunit ribosomal RNA", at positions 523 to 918 of the family's 1533-position model. The record is from RNAcentral.
AUACGGAGGAUGCGAGCGUUAUCCGGAUUUAUUGGGUUUAAAGGGUGCGUAGGCUGUGCGUUAAGUCAGGGGUGAAAUGCCGUCGCUCAACGACGGAGCUGCCCUUGAUACUGGCGUGCUGGAGUACGGAUGCCGUUGGAGGAAUGAGUGGUGUAGCGGUGAAAUGCUUAGAUAUCACUCAGAACACCGAUUGCGAAGGCAUCUGACGAAUCCGUCACUGACGCUGAGGCACGAAAGCGUGGGGAUAGAACAGGAUUAGAUACCCUGGUAUUCCACGCCGUAAACGAUGAUGACUAACCGUCGGCGAUAGACAGCCGGUGGCCAAGCGAAAGCGAUAAGUCAUCCACCUGGGGAGUACGUCGGCAACGAUGAAACUCAUAGGAAUUGACGGGG